This 750-nucleotide ribosomal RNA is filed under the name Triticum aestivum (bread wheat). RNAcentral describes it as "partial small subunit ribosomal RNA". The record is from RNAcentral. Lineage: Eukaryota; Viridiplantae; Streptophyta; Magnoliopsida; Poales; Poaceae.
UUCCAGCACCACCCCACGCCGGAUGCAGCUCUGGCCGAGCCGGUUCCAGCACCGCCCCAUGCCGGAUGCAGCUCUGGCCGAGCCGGUUGCAGCUCGAGGCCGAGCCGGUUCCAGCACCGUCCCACGCCGGAUGCAGCUCUGGCCGAGCCGGUUGCAGCUCGAGGCCGAGCCAGUUCCAAAAUCUUGCGCUGGUCGCAGCAUCUUGGGGCCAUGCGUCCCCGCCGUCCACCGUUGAAGCUUCCCCGGCGCCACGACGAUGAAGAAGGGGAGGAGCGCGGCCAUGGCUAUGGAUCUGGCGCCAUGGGAGAAGAGGAGGUUGGGGCCGAGCGCUGCAACAAAAAAACGUCGGUGAUGACGGUGGGGGCGAACGGCAGCACGACAACAGAGUAUAUUGGCCUGAGCACGGGAAGAAACUCGUCGGCGGCGAACACCGGAAGCGAGCUAGAGAGAGGUUGGAGAUAAAGAGAUAAGGUUAGUGAGUGGGCAGCACAGCUCGCUCUUACCUGUUCCUUUCGUCACGCGUGUGUGAUGGGCACCAGGCACGUGGGCCAGCAAACGACAUGAAAGCCUCACGUGGCGAAGAGAUAAGGGAAAAAGGACUCAGCCGGCACAUGUGUGUCCGUGUGGGACCACCCCACGACGCGCGCGUGCGUGUGACCGGCCGAAGUUUCGGCCGGCGCGCCGGAUACAAGCGUUUCCCUUUGCCUUGUCAAUCUCUUGGACACCUCGACCCCGAUAUGGAGUGCCACC